CAUUGAAUGAAGGGUUAUUAUCUAAUCCAGUCAACAUUCUGAAAGUAAAGUUUUGACUGAACUAAUAAAAACGAAUCCAGCCAACACUGAGAUCAUUUCAGACGUGCACGAGCCUGAGUGACUUUGCGUGAGAAACACCACCUUCAAACGCCACCAUCUUGUCAAGUUUACGCAUCAGGUUUUCAGUUGCAAACCAGUCAGUGAUUACCAGACCGGUCCAAUGGAACUACACAAUGUGCGUGUACUUCCAAGACUAAGGUCUCCGUAGUCACCCAGAUCUAGUCUGUAUCCAGAUCAGAUAGUGGAUCAGCACCAAGAGAUGCCCUCGACAGCCCUGAAUGUCAGAGGUUCCAAUGACAACUAGAUGAGUCCCAGAGACAGAUCCCCUCCGAAGACUUCUUUACCUAGAUGGCCAUUGUGACAAGACCACAGGAACCAGACCAGUCCUCUGCACAAUCUGACUUUGCUGCACCAUGCAAUUAAACUGCUGGUUUUGUCUGGCCAGAGAAGAACGAUGUAGUUUUGGU
Molecule: long non-coding RNA, 527 nt
Organism: Carassius carassius (crucian carp)
Lineage: Eukaryota; Metazoa; Chordata; Actinopteri; Cypriniformes; Cyprinidae
Exons: 3
Source: RefSeq, a predicted model, not a curated record